UACGGGAGGCAGCAGUGGGGAAUAUUGCACAAUGGGCGCAAGCCUGAUGCAGCCAUGCCGCGUGUAUGAAAAAGGCCUUCGGGUUGUAAAGUACUUUCAGUCGUGAGGAAGGUGUUAAGGUUAAUAACCUUAGCAAUUGACGUUAGCGACAGAAGAAGCACCGGCUAACUCCGUGCCAGCAGCCGCGGUAAUACGGAGGGUGCGAGCGUUAAUCGGAAUUACUGGGCGUAAAGGGCACGCAGGCGGUUAAUUAAGUUGGAUGUGAAAUCCCCGGGCUUAACCUGGGAAUGGCAUUCAAGACUGGUUAGCUAGAGUCUUGUAGAGGGGGUAGAAUUCCAUGUGUAGCGGUGAAAUGCGUAGAGAUGUGGAGGAAUACCGGUGGCGAAGGCGGCCCCUGGGACAAAGGCUGACGCUCAUGUGCGAAAGCGUGGGGAGCAAAC
RNAcentral lists this ribosomal RNA (440 nucleotides) under uncultured bacterium. RNAcentral's name for it is "bacterial SSU rRNA". It matches the Rfam family "Bacterial small subunit ribosomal RNA", at positions 340 to 773 of the family's 1533-position model. The record is from RNAcentral.